This 462-nucleotide ribosomal RNA is filed under the name Triticum aestivum (bread wheat). Its description in RNAcentral is "partial small subunit ribosomal RNA". Lineage: Eukaryota; Viridiplantae; Streptophyta; Magnoliopsida; Poales; Poaceae. The record is from RNAcentral.
AUGCAAGCGCGCCGAAGAAAGAAUUUCAUCCAUGCAAUCAGUAGCAGCAACAGAGUGGUGGUUGAUCAUCAUGAGAAGGAGAAGCUCAUCUUCGAUCACUUCUCUGAAGCCCUGGGUCGAAGCAAACAAAGACGCUGCACCCUGAACUCGGACAUGCUAAACGUCCCAGCUGUGACCUCAUCGGAGCUUGACGACCUGUUCACCAUGGCCGAGGUUUGGGCGGCGAUACUAGCCUCCCCCAUGGAAAAGGCACCGGGCCUGGACGGUUUCACAGGGCAGUUUUAUCGCUCUUGCUGGCCGAUUAUCAAGGAGGAGGUCAUGGCUAUCUUUGACAAGUUUUAUCAGAUGGCUGGGAGCAACUUCGCUAAGCUUAACUAUGCACUCAUUGCCCUCCUGCCGAAAAAGUGGUGUGUCAGAGAUCAACCACUACAGGCCCAUCAGUCUGAUUCACUCCAUGGCUAA